GUAGUCCUACGGGGGGCAGCAGUGGGGGAUAUUGGACAAUGGGGGAAACCCUGAUCCAGCGACGCCGCGUGAGUGAAGAAGUAUUUCGGUAUGUAAAGCUCUGUCAGCAGGGAAGAAAGAAAUGACGGUACCUGACUAAGAAGCCCCGGCUAACUACGUGCCAGCAGCCGCGGUAAUACGUAGGGGGCAAGCGUUAUCCGGAUUUACUGGGUGUAAAGGGAGCGUAGACGGUGCAGCAAGUCUGAUGUGAAAGGUCGGGGCCCAACCCCGGGACUGCAUUGGAAACUGUUGAACUGGAGUACAGG
This 305-nucleotide ribosomal RNA is filed under the name uncultured bacterium. Its description in RNAcentral is "bacterial SSU rRNA". It matches the Rfam family "Bacterial small subunit ribosomal RNA", at positions 333 to 652 of the family's 1533-position model. The record is from RNAcentral.